UGACAUCAUCACAGGUCCUUUCCUUCCUCCUACAGCACAGCCUGGAGCCUGACUCCUGUAGACUCUGGAAGAAGUGCAGUCACAGAACGCUCCAUGGUGAAGGAUUGUCAGAGGAGGAGGACACGUCCGACCCCAGGUUCCUACAAUAUAGGGUCUGCUCAGUGGAUAUCUUCUAUAUAAGAUCCUUCUCCAGAUUGACCCCUCAAUGAUGGAUAGGGAUAGGGACAAAAUGGCUGAGAGUAUAAUAAAUCUCACCCUAGAGAUCCUCUUCCGGCUUACUGGAGAGGACUACACAGUAGUGAAGAAGACCUCUAAUGAGCGCUGUCAGGCCCUUGUGUCUGAAGGAUGGGAAAGAACCCUGAGUCCAAUCAAGGGGCCUCCACCUCACCCCCUGAUACAUGAGGAAAUCAAUAGAGAGAAGAUCGUAGAACUCGCCAACAAGAUUAUUGAGCUGCUGACUGGAGAGGUUCCUAUAAGGUGUCAGGAUGUCACUGUCUAUUUCUCCAUGGAGGAGUGGGAGUAUUUA
Bufo bufo (common toad) is the source of this 526-nucleotide long non-coding RNA. RefSeq lists it as uncharacterized. The record is from RefSeq and is a predicted model, not a curated record. The transcript has 4 exons. NCBI's taxonomy places the organism in Eukaryota, Metazoa, Chordata, Amphibia, Anura, Bufonidae.